CUCACAUGAACCUCGCCUGCAACCUCUCCCUGCUCCCUUGGCCUGUCCACUCCUCUGCCUGAGUCACGACAGCAACCGGCCACAUGAACGCGGAGCUUCACGAGGGGCUGAGCGCUCCCUUGCGCGCCAGGACAUUUGCUCCUCCUAAGGACCUUCGAGAUAAGUUAUUGUUAGCUCCACCCAGCAGAAGCGCGAACUCGGGCCCAGGGAAGUCGUGGGGCCUGCCUGAGAUUGUGCAAGCGGUGAGCAGCAGGACCUGACUGGAAGUCUUGGGUUCUUACCGCGGGAUCCUUUCUGUCAGCGUCCCAGAGACACUGGGGCCGGGGGGAGUUGGCUGGAAGGGACGGACUUGGUUGGCUUCCAGCUGGGCCUCUUGUGGUGGCCUCGGGAGCAGGGGGAGCUGCUUUGGCGUCACCGCUCAACCUGAACCCUGUUGGGCGGCUCCUUGCGCGUGCAAAGAAAGGACCCUCUCCUCGGCCCUCAGACUUCCCACGUGACCUACGACAGGCAUUCAGACUCUUCUGGGCCUUUGCGUUCUGGAGCAGAAGGCUAUGGGAACCCAAACCUGGACUCAGGAAGGCAGAAGUGAGAACAGCUGUAUGUUCCUGGGGAAACAAACAACGGCCAUCAUACUGCAUGAGAGCGAUCACCUCCGGGCAGCGUGGAAGACCAGAAAGACCGGAGGAAACAUUCUCUCUGUUUCUGUGCACAGCAUUGAUUCAUACCUUGUCCACUUCCUUGACGAUGAUGUAGCAAGAGUAACUCAGGAUUUAAGGACAGAAAGUCUGGCUUCAGAUCUCUACUUCGCUCACUGGAGAGUCAUUUCCUGAGAUCCUGCUUCCUCACUGUAAAUUGAAACCGCUAAUAAGAGUAUUGACCUUAUUAUAUGCUUAUCAUGACACUUAAAUGAGAUUUAUAUGUGUGUGUAUGUGUAUAAUGUGUACACGUAUGUAAUACAAUGUGUGUGUGUGUGUGUGUGUGUACCCUUUAUAUGGCAAAUUACUGUUUUCAAAUAAAAAACAAAUCCAGACUAGUAAGGAGAGACUU
This 1047-nucleotide long non-coding RNA is filed under the name Ursus maritimus (polar bear). RNAcentral describes it as "lncRNA (ENSUMAG00000002212.1)". Lineage: Eukaryota; Metazoa; Chordata; Mammalia; Carnivora; Ursidae. The record is from RNAcentral.